CCUACGGGAGGCUGCAGUGAGGAAUAUUGGUCAAUGGGCGCAAGCCUGAACCAGCCAAGUCGCGUGAGGGAUGACGGUCCUAUGGAUUGUAAACCUCUUUUGUCGGGGAGCAAGGCGCGCCACGUGUGGCGGGAAGGAGAGUACCCGAAGAAAAAGCAUCGGCUAACCCCGUGCCAGCACCCGCGGUAACACGGGGGAUGCGAGCGUUAUCCGGUUUUAUUGGGUUAAAAGGGUGCGUAGGCGGAAGGUUAAGUCAGCGGUAAAAUGUCGGUGCCAAACGCCGGACUGCCGUUGAAACUGGUCGUCUUGAGUGAGGGAGAAGUAUGCGGAAUGCGUGGUGUAGCGGUGAAAUGCAUAGAUAUCACGCAGAACUCCGAUUGCGAAGGCAGCAUAC
This 394-nucleotide ribosomal RNA is filed under the name uncultured bacterium. RNAcentral describes it as "partial 16S ribosomal RNA". It matches the Rfam family "Bacterial small subunit ribosomal RNA", at positions 338 to 729 of the family's 1533-position model. The record is from RNAcentral.